AGAGAUGUGUGAUGACGCAUAUCAAUAAGCGGAGGAAAAGAAACUAACAAGGAUUCCCUUAGUAACGGCGAGUGAAGCGGGAAGAGCUCAAAUUUGAAAUCUUCAAGGUUCUACCUUGACGAAUUGUAGUUUAUAGAAGUGUUUUCUGUUAGUAGAGUGGCAAAAGUUCUUUGGAAUAGGACAUCAUAGAGGGUGAGAAUCCCGUAUUUGGUCAUUCCUUCUAGCUUUGUGAUACACUUUCAAGAGUCGGAUUGUUUGGGAAUGCAGUCCAAAAUGGGUGGUAAAUUUCAUCUAAAGCUAAAUAUUGGCGAGAGACCGAUAGCGAACAAGUACCGUGAGGGAAAGAUGAAAAGAACUUUGAAAAGAGAGUUAAACAGUACGUGUAAUUGUCAAAAGGGAAGCGUUUGACACCAGUGUUGUUUUUCCGAAAAUCAAUUACGAAUGUUUUAUUUUUGAGGAGUUAUGACUUCAUCGGCUUGCUUCUCUCUUUACGAAACUUUCUUAAUGCACUUUUCGGUUAACAAGUCAACAUCAAUUUCUUUUGUUGUAAAAGGGUAUGAGGAAGGUGGCUUUCUUUUCGGAGAGAGUGUUUAUAGCCUAUGUACCUCUGCAAUCGGAGAGAUUGAGGUCUGCAGCGUAGAUCCUUCGGGGUUAGAUACAUUUGUGCUAAGUUAUAGCUUUUCAUAGACAACUUGUUGACUAUGUUAGUCUUGUAGCUUACUCGCUUAUGCCUAUUUUACCUACGCUUAGGAUGUUGACAGCAGUAUAGACUGU
This 774-nucleotide ribosomal RNA is filed under the name uncultured Neocallimastigales. RNAcentral describes it as "partial large subunit ribosomal RNA". It matches the Rfam family "Eukaryotic large subunit ribosomal RNA", at positions 23 to 640 of the family's 3401-position model. Lineage: Eukaryota; Fungi; Neocallimastigomycota; Neocallimastigomycetes; Neocallimastigales. The record is from RNAcentral.